Bos taurus (domestic cattle) is the source of this 1421-nucleotide long non-coding RNA. The record is from Ensembl. Lineage: Eukaryota; Metazoa; Chordata; Mammalia; Artiodactyla; Bovidae.
AAUGUAGAUUGUUAAUAUCCUUUCGGCUGCCUAUAACCCUCUUAUCCCGUUAGGUUGAUCCUCGUGCAGAAAGAAUUUCAGUCAGUGCUACUUUUCAUCCUGGUUGCACAUUGAUUAACACGAGAAUUUUUAAAAUUAUUUUUAUUGAAGUAUAGUUGAUUUAUAAUAUUGUGUUAGUUUCUCAUGGACAGCAAAAUGAUUUGGUUAUCACUUUUUCAGAUUCUUUUGUUAUAGGUUAUUAUAAAAUAUUGAGCAUAGCUCUUUGUGCCACACAGUAGGUCCUUUUUGUUUACCAAUUUUAUAUAUAGUAGUUUGGAUAUGUUAUUUCUGAUUUCCUAACUUAUCCCCCUCCAGGACCUUUUUCCUUUGGUAAGAAGUUUGUUCUCUAUGACUGUGAGUCUGUUUAGUAAAUAAGUUUAUUUGAAUCAUUUUUUAGAUUCCACAUAUAAAUCAUAUCAUAUUUGUCUUUCUCUGUCUGACUUACUUUAGUAUGAUAAUCUCUAGGUCCAUCCUGGUCGCUUCAGUCAUGUCCAACUCUUAGUGACCCUUUGGACUGUAGCCCACCAGGCUCUUCUGUCCAAGGGAUUCUCCAGGCAACAAUACUGGAGUGGAUUGCCAUGCCCUCCUCUAGGGGAUCUUCCCAAUUCAAGGAUCGAACCCCCAUCUCUUAUGUCUCCUGCAUUGGCAGGCAGUUUCUUUACCACUAGUGCCACCUGGGAAGACCAAUAUUUGGAGCUCUGUAUAAUAAGGAGAUAGUGCAUAAUUAUUUCAUCAAUUCACUGCCUUCUAUUCACCAUGAAUUUCUCCAUGUUGAUGAUAGGCUGAACACAUACUGAAAGUUUUCUCACAUUUCUUAUAUUUAUAGCGUUUUUCCCCUGCAUGAGUUUUCUGGUGUUGAAUAAGAGAAGAACUCUGGCUAAAGGCUUUGUCACAAUCAUUGCAUUUAUAUGGUUUCUCUCCAGUGUGGAUUCUCUGAUGCUGGAUAAGGGAUGAGCUCCGGGUGAAGGCCUUUCCACAUUCAGUACAUACAUAGGGUUUCUCUCCUGUGUGAAUCCUCUGAUGUAGGAUAAAAGCUGAGUAGUAGCUGAAGGACUUGCCACACUCACUGCACUUCCAAGGCUUUUUCACUGAGUAAAUGUUCUGAUGUUUAAUUGGGUUCGAACUUUCCCCGAUUUCAGUACAAUCCUCCAUAGGAUUUCUCUUGUGCUUAAUUAUGACUUGCCUUAAAUCUUUCUUCAGAUUUCCUUGCUGCCUUUCUAACAUGCCUCCACAUUCCCAGGUUUUUAUCCAUCUGGAGUCCCAGGAAUCAUCCUUUAUAAGUCUUUCUAUUAUCAGCUCCCUUUCUGAUGAUACUCCUUCAGAACCUUCCUGCAUUGAAAGGGACACUUUAGUUUCAGGUGUAGAUUCAGAAUCUGAAAUAA